GAUAAGAACGUAGCGAAAUGCGAUAAGUAAUGUGAAUUGCAGAAUUCAGUGAAUCAUCAAAUCUUUGAACGCACAUUGCGCCCGCUAGUAUUCUGGCGGGCAUGCCUGUUCGAGCGUCAUUUCAACCAUCAAGCCCUGUUUAGGCUUGUGUUGGGGCCCUGCGGCUGCCGCAGCCCCCUAAAUGCAGUGGCGGGCUCGUUGUCACUCCGAGCGCAGUAGCGUAUCUCGCUCUGGGCGUGGCGGCGGGUGCUAGCCGUGAAACACCCACUAAGGUUGACCUCGGAUCAGGUAGGAAUACCCGCUGAACUUAAGCAUAUCAAUAAGCGGAGGA
Molecule: unclassified non-coding RNA, 331 nt
Filed under: soil metagenome
Description: partial contains 5.8S ribosomal RNA, internal transcribed spacer 2, and large subunit ribosomal RNA
Rfam family: 5.8S ribosomal RNA (bases 4-119)
Source: RNAcentral